UACGUAGGGGGCAAGUGUUGUCCGGAUUUAUUGGGCGUAAAGAGCGUGUAGGCGGCUGGGUAGGUCCGUUGUGAAAACUCGAGGCUCAACCUCGAGACGCCGAUGGAAACCCUCCAGCUAGAGUCCGGAAGAGGAGAGUGGAAUUCCUGGUGUAGCGGUGAAAUGCGCAGAUAUCAGGAAGAACACCCGUGGCUAAGGCGGCUCUCUAGUACGGUACUGACGCUGAGACGCGAAAGCGUGGGGAGCGAACAGG
Molecule: ribosomal RNA, 253 nt
Filed under: uncultured bacterium
Lineage: Bacteria
Description: partial 16S ribosomal RNA
Rfam family: Bacterial small subunit ribosomal RNA
Source: RNAcentral